UCUACCUUCACCGACAACCCUAACACCGAAGCCUACAGUAGAAUUGAUACUGGCUCAGGCAGGGUUAGGGAAAAAAGUGGUGACAAUAGCAGAGGACUGCAAACACAUGGAUAUGGUAACAAUUAUGGAGGAAGAGUUCCCCAAACUUCAACCACUACAAGGACGGUGGAUGUUUUAUAAAGCAACCGGAGGAAGUGGCCAGAGAAGAAUGACUCUUAUCUCCAUGGACACAGAGGGUUACUCUGGUCGGCAAAUUCGGUCUGUCUCGAACAGUGGCAAAAAUGUCCUUUUUUUAGUGCCCCUUCAGGAG
Long non-coding RNA from Onychostoma macrolepis, 310 nucleotides. RefSeq lists it as uncharacterized. The transcript has 3 exons. Lineage: Eukaryota; Metazoa; Chordata; Actinopteri; Cypriniformes; Cyprinidae. The record is from RefSeq and is a predicted model, not a curated record.